GACGAACGCUGGCGGCGUGCUUAACACAUGCAAGUCGAACGCUGAAGCUUGGUGCUUGCACUGGGUGGAUGAGUGGCGAACGGGUGAGUAAUACGUGAGUAACCUGCCCUUGACUCUGGGAUAAGCCUGGGAAACUGGGUCUAAUACUGGAUACGACAUGUCACCGCAUGGUGGUGUGUGGAAAGGGUUUUACUGGUUUUGGAUGGGCUCACGGCCUAUCAGCUUGUUGGUGGGGUAAUGGCUCACCAAGGCGACGACGGGUAGCCGGCCUGAGAGGGUGACCGGCCACACCGGGACUGAGACACGGCCCAGACUCCUACGGGAGGCAGCAGUGGGGAAUAUUGCACAAUGGGCGGAAGCCUGAUGCAGCGACGCCGCGUGAGGGAUGACGGCCUUCGGGUUGUAAACCUCUUUCAGCACGGAAGAAGCGAAAGUGACGGUACGUGCAGAAGAAGCGCCGGCUAACUACGUG
Molecule: ribosomal RNA, 472 nt
Filed under: uncultured bacterium
Lineage: Bacteria
Description: partial 16S ribosomal RNA
Rfam family: Bacterial small subunit ribosomal RNA
Source: RNAcentral